RNAcentral lists this ribosomal RNA (553 nucleotides) under uncultured bacterium. Its description in RNAcentral is "partial 16S ribosomal RNA". It matches the Rfam family "Bacterial small subunit ribosomal RNA", at positions 355 to 900 of the family's 1533-position model. The record is from RNAcentral.
UAGGGAAUCUUCCACAAUGGACGCAAGUCUGAUGGAGCAACGCCGCGUGAGUGAAGAAGGGUUUCGGACCGUAAAGCUCUGUUGUUGGUGAAGAAGGAUAGAGGUAGUAACUGGCCUUUAUUUGACGGUAAUCAACCAGAAAGUCACGGCUAACUACGUGCCAGCAGCCGCGGUAAUACGUAGGUGGCAAGCGUUGUCCGGAUUUAUUGGGCGUAAAGCGAGCGCAGGCGGAAGAAUAAGUCUGAUGUGAAAGCCCUCGGCUUAACCGAGGAAUUGCAUCGGAAACUGUUUUCUUGAGUGCAGAAGAGGAGAGUAGAACUCCAUGUGUAGCGGUGGAAUGCGUAGAUAUAUGGAAGAAUACCAGUGGCGAAGGCGGCUCUCUGGUCUGCAACUGACGCUGAGGCUCGAAAGCAUGGGUAGCGAACAGGAUUAGAUACCCUGGUAGUCCAUGCCGUAAACGAUGAGUGCUAAGUGUUGGGAGGCUUCCGCCUCUCAGUGCUGCAGCUAACGCAUUAAGCACUCCGCCUGGGGAGUACGACCGCAAGGUUGAAAC